This 72-nucleotide transfer RNA is filed under the name Plectosphaerella cucumerina. It matches the Rfam family "tRNA". From Rfam's summary of the family: Transfer RNA (tRNA) molecules are approximately 80 nucleotides in length. The record is from Rfam by way of RNAcentral. RNAcentral also lists the same sequence under 1 other name. Lineage: Eukaryota; Fungi; Ascomycota; Sordariomycetes; Glomerellales; Plectosphaerellaceae.
AGCAAGAUGGCGCAGCGGAAGCGCGCCGGGCUCAUAACCCGGAGGACGGUGGAUCGAAACCACCUCUUGCUA